This is a long non-coding RNA of Mobula hypostoma (lesser devil ray), 5442 nucleotides long. RefSeq lists it as uncharacterized. The transcript has 4 exons. NCBI's taxonomy places the organism in Eukaryota, Metazoa, Chordata, Chondrichthyes, Myliobatiformes, Myliobatidae. The record is from RefSeq and is a predicted model, not a curated record.
AAAAACAGAGUACACAGUCUGUCCGGCAGUCCUCACAGACACAGUGCUUACAACAGGUGUUACAGAUUUGAAUAACAAUACUGCGAACAUUAUAUGAGCAGCUCAGAGGCUGACGAUCCUGCUGUGAGUGACCCACCUCCUGAGAGUUCAAAGUCGUACCAACACCUACAAAGACAGGAAUACUCUCCUGUAAGGUGAAGUUUGACACUAAACAAGACAAAGCAAGGCACAGUACUGCACUAAACGUUCACUCCGCAACAUCUGCAGGGUCAGUAUGUCUACUUAUACAACACCAGCAACUUGACCACCUGGAACAAGAGCAGCAGGCACGUGGGAACACCAGCUUCAUCCUCCAGUAUCCAACAAUCCACACUCGGAAUAUUGUGUUCCGUUCUGGCUGCCGCAUUACAAGAAGAAUGUGGAAAUUUGAGAGAGAGUGCAGAGGAUAUUUACCAGGAUGUUGCUUGGAACAGCGUGCAUGUCUUAUGAGGAUAGGUUAAGCAAGCUGGAGCUCUGCUCUCUGGAGCAAAGGAGAAUGAGAGGUGACAUGAUAGAGCUGUACAUGAUGAUAGAUCACUGGAUAGCUGGAGACCUUUUUCCCAGGGUGGAAAUGGCCAAUAUGAGGGCCAUAACUUCAAGGUGAUCAGAGGAAAGUAAAGGGGGGGGGGGGGGGAGUUUUUUUUUUUUACACAGAGGAUGGUGAAUGUAUAGAACACCUUACCAGGGGUUUUGGUAGAAGCAGACAGGUGCGUGUUUGAUAGAAAAAUGGAGGGCUACGUAGGAGGGAAGUGUUAGAGUAGGUUAAAAGCUUGGCACAACGUGGUGGACCAAAGUGCCUUUACUGGGCAGUAACGUUCAUUCAGCACCUGUCCAGCCCAGGCUGCAUCCAGGGGAUGGGGUUCUGUAAGAACCAUCAGCCACAAUGAGUCACAGGGUGUGAGUGAGUGUGAGUGUGAGCGAGAGACAAAGACAGCAGCAUUUGGAGCCAGCAGUCUGCUGCUGUUCACAGUCAAAGGAUGGCGUCCAUGCCAAGUCACCAGGUACAGCUGUCAACAAAAGUGAAAGGUUAUUUCAAACAGGGACAAUGUGAAUUUGGCCCAAACAUUCCCAGCAAGUAAAUCUGGGCCAUCAGAUUCUAAAUUCAAAGUACAUUUAUUAUCAAAGAACAUAUAAUGCUGACUUCAAAAAAAAACAGGGAAGAGUGCCAAUGUUUAAUUGCAUCUGGUUGUCUGCACUGAGCUCUUGCACAACUCAUCUGUUAAUGCUCCACCACUAGCUUUAGUACAUCUUGUACAAAUUUGACCAUUUGCCAGUUAACAAACACAGCCAAAAAUUAAAGUUCAAGCUGUGACUAAGCCUCUUUCCUCCUCAAUGGCUUAACAUGCUCCCCUUACUCCCAGGCAGGGUCAAUUCUCGUCACAGAGCCUCACCGCUUCCUUUGAACAUAGAACACAAAAUAGCACAGCACAGUACAGGCCUUUCUGCCCACAAUGUUGUGCCGACCCUUAAACCCUACCUCCCAUACAACCCCCAACCUUAAAUUCCUCCAUAUACCUGUCUAGUAGUCUCUUAAAUUUCACUAGUGUAUCUGCCUCCACCACUGACUCAGGCAGUGCAUUCCACGCACCAACCACUUUCUGAGUUAAAAAAACCUUCCUAAUAUCCCCCUUCAACUUCCCACCCCUUACCUUAAAGCCAUGUCCUCUGGUAUUGAUCAGUGGUGCCCUGGGGAAGAGGCGCUGGCUAUCCACUCUAUCUAUUCCUCUUAAUAUCUUGUAUAUCUCUAUCAUGUCCCCUCUCAUCCUCCUUCUCUCCAAAGAGUAAAGUCCUAGCUCCCUUAAUUUCUGAUCAUAAUGCAUACUCUCUAAACCAGGCAGCAUCCUGGUAAAUCUCCUCUGUACACUUUCCAAUGCUUUCACAUCCUUCCUAUAGUGAGGUGACCAGAACUGGACACAGUACUCCAAGUGUGGCCUAACCAGAGUUUUAUAGAGCUGCAUCAUUACCUCGCGACUCUUAAACUCUAUCCCUCGACUUAUGAAGGCUAACACCUCAUAAGCUUUCUUAACUGCCCUAUCUACCUGUGAGGCAAGGCAACUUUCAGGGAUCUGUGGACAUGUACCCCCAGAUCCCCCUGCUCCUCCACACUACCAAGUAUCCUGCCAUUUACUUUGUACUCUGCCUUGGAGUUUGUCCUCGCAAAGUGUACCACCUCACACUUCUCUGGGUUGAACUCCAUCUGCCACUUCUCAGCCCACUUCUGCAUCCUAUCAAUGUCUCUCUGCAAUCUUCGACAAUUCUCUAUACUAUCUACAACACCACCAACCUUUGUGUCAUCUGCAAACUUGCCAACCCACCUUUCUACCCCCACAUCCAGGUCGUUAAUAAAAAUCACAAAAAGUAGAGGUCCCAGAACCAAUCCUUGUGGGACACCACUAGUCACAACCCUCCAAUCCGAAUGUACUCUCUCCACCACAACCCUUUGCUUUCUGCAGGCAAGCCAAUUCUGAAUCCACCUGGCCAAACUUCCCUGGAUCCCAUGCCUUCUGACUUUCUGAAUAAGCCUACCGUGUAGGAUAAGCCUACCAUCUGAAGACUUCAAUCACACCAGAACCUCUCGUUAUUUGGACUCCAUCCAACACAACAAUCUUCCCUACACCACUGACAAUGUCCAAAUGCACCCCUCACUCCUGCUCUACCCACUCUAAUGGAUACAAGCUUAAACUAACAUAGCAGACAAUGGCUUUACCAAUCUACAUCAGAUCUGACGACUAGGAUGGUGAAACCGCAGAUGCAGAAAAUAACCUCAGCGGAGAACAUAGAACAGUACAGGCCCUUUGGCCCACAAUGCUGUACCAACCUUUUAACCUGCUCUAAGAUCAAUCUAACCCUUCCCUGCUACAUAGCCCUCCAUUUUUCUAUCAUCCAUGUGCCUAAGAGCUCCUUAAAUGCCUGUAAUGUAUUUGAUGAUGUCUAUAAGAUAUAGGAGCAGAAUCAGGCCAUUUGGCCCAUCGAGUCUGCUCUGCCAUUUCAUCACAGCUGAUCUAUUUCCUCUCAGCCCCAAUCUGCUGCCUUCUCCCCGUAUCCAUGCCCUGGCCAAUCAAGAGUCUAUCAACCAUCGCCUUAAAUGCACCCAAUGGCUUGUCCUCCACAACCGCCCGUGGCAAUGACUUCCACAAGGCCUUCUACCAUCACCCUUGAUGGGGCAUUCCACUCGCUGCUGGAGGAACUCAGCAGGUCAUGUAGUAUCUGUGGAGAUAGAAGUUCAGGGGGAUGGUAAUUAGCUCAGGUCAAGAUCCUGAAUCAGACUGAGAGUGUAGGAGCCUUUGUCUGCUUCCAUCUACCAUUUCCACCUGCCCAUGACCCACAGCUCCAGCCACUCCCCUACCUAACUAAUUCAAGCUGCCUGUCACCCUUCAAUUCCAAACCACUGCUUCCCAGGUCAUCAAUCUCCUCUUGUCCCUGUCCCACUCUGAUUGCUCUCCUCAUUGUACCUGUUUUCUCUGUCUUCAGGCUCUCAACCCUGACAAAAGGUUUUCACCCAAAAGGUAGAUAAAAUGUCUUGAACCUGACAGAUACUGCUCGACCUGGUGAGUUUCUCUCAGUCCCACCAUCUGAAGUCUCUUGUGCCUCCCUCCUCUGAAGAGGAUAUCCCAGAGUCCAGGUAAACCCUUCUCAUCACCCCCAUGCACUUUGAAUCUUGGAUAUCUCAGCUUAAUUUCUCCCAAUUUAAUGCUACCAGGAUCAUUCCGCUGAGGUUAAAACACCCCCAGAUUUGCCACAUUGACGGUGAAGUUUGUCGAGAUUCUGUUUGGGCUGAAGGUUCUCUCUAGUUGCACAGGGUGAAACUAGAAUGUGGAAAAAAAACCCUCAGACUAAUCAGGAAUGUAAACAAGCAAAUGUUUUGCUGUAAACAGAACAGAACAUUUUUCACUAUAAAUUAACUCAUAAAAACUGCACUUUGCCAGAGUAAGUGAUAAUACACACAAAAUCCUGGAGGGACUCAGCAGGUCGGGGAGGGGAAUAAACUGCCGAUACUUUUGGCAGAGACUCUUCAUCAGAACUGCAAAGGACGGGAGGCAGAAGCCAGAAGAAGCAGUUUGAUUUUCAGGCGAUACCCCAGCAGGGGGAUAAAAGGAACAGGUUUGCUAAGGCAAGGCACACACCACGAGAUCACAAGGUAACGAGACCCUGGAAGUGCGGUGUGCCCCCCCCCCCACAAGUUGGUGGGAGUUUUUGGAGGUCUGGUCGCGGGACCGACCAUAGACGCACAGGGUGAGAAGAUACGAUCAGCGGGAACCUGGUGUGUAUGUCCGCCCUUGCCUGGGUGCCGGGUUCACCGCAGAAGAACGAUUGUCUCUGGAACGGAGGGGUCACAGUCGGUGACCUCAGAAGACAUUACAAAGGGCUCGCCCGAAAGCUAACUGCGAGGAAUAUCAAAGGUCAGAGAUGUUCCAGAGGUGAGUGUGAAGCUGAGGAGAUGGCAUCUGCUCUCUGGUUAAAGCAAAUCCUUUUCUCUUCUAAAGAGUACAUGCAAAUAUAACUGUCAUUUGCAUAUUGGAGCUCAAUAAUGGAGGAGGUAUUUAUGUCAUUCUCAUCAGACCAAACCUGAUCAGUCUACAAUUAUACCUUCAUUUCUAAUCAACAAGCUCCAAAACCUGGACGUCUGAACCUCCAUCGGCUUCCACAUCAGGAGACCUCAGUCAGUGCAGAAUGUAAUAAUAUCCUCCUUGCUGAUGGUUAACACAGGUGCGCCUUGAUGAUGUGUGUUUAGCCCACUUCUCUACUCUCUCAUCACUUAUGAGUGUGUGGCUUGGCUCAGCUCAAAUGCCAUCUACAAAUUUGCUGAUACCACCACCAUUGUCAAAAUCUCAAAGGUGACAAAGAGGCAUAUAGGAGUCAGAGAGAUCAGCUGGUUGAGUGGUGCUGCAACACCAACCUUACACUCAACGUCAGGAGACCAAGGAACUGAUUGUGGACGUCAGGAAGGGGAAAUUGGAGAGCACACCAGUUCUCACUGAAGGUUCAGCAGUGGAAUGAGUGACCAGUUUCAAAUUCUGAGGAUCAACAUCUCAGAGGAUCUACCCUGAGCCAAACAAAUAGAUGUGAUCAAAAGAAACACACCAGUGGCUGUACUUCAUUAGGAGUUAGAGGAGAUUUGGUAUGUCACCAAAGACCAGUAAAUUCCUACAGAUGUACUGUGGAGUGCAUUCAGACUAUUUGGAGCCUCUAACGUACAGAUUUGCAAGAGGUUGCAGAGGAUUGCAGACCAACAUUCUGAUUUUCUUUUACAGCUGCGCAAACCAACCAUUGCACUGAGCAGGAGAUAAUUACACAGCCUGAAAACUGUACGGCACUUUGAAUGUUUUUUUUUAAAUAUGCAAACCAUGAACAUUUAGAAUGAAAAUUGAAAAACCACAUAUUUUUGAUUUUGUUUAUUAAUUG